RNAcentral lists this ribosomal RNA (253 nucleotides) under uncultured bacterium. RNAcentral's name for it is "partial 16S ribosomal RNA". It matches the Rfam family "Bacterial small subunit ribosomal RNA", at positions 524 to 776 of the family's 1533-position model. The record is from RNAcentral.
UACGUAGGGUCCAAGCGUUAUCCGGAAUCACUGGGCGUAAAGCGUGCGUAGGUGGUUUGUUAAGUGUGAUGUUAAAUCGUGGGGCUCAACCCUAUCGAUGCAUCGCAUACUGGCAGACUAGAGGACAGCAGAGGCAAGUGGAAUUUGUAGUGUAGCAGUGAAAUGCGUAGAUAUUACAAGGAACACCAAUGGCGAAGGCAGCUUGCUGGGCUACUCCUGACACUGAGGUACGAAAGCGUGGGGAGCGAACAGG